UACGGAGGGUGCAAGCGUUAUCCGGAUUCACUGGGUUUAAAGGGUGCGUAGGAGGGCAGGUAAGUCAGUGGUGAAAUCUCCGAGCUUAACUUGGAAACUGCCAUUGAUACUAUCAGUCUUGAAUAUUGUUGAGGUUUGCGGAAUGGGUCAUGUAGCGGUGAAAUGCAUAGAUAUGACCCGGAACACCUAUUGCGAAGGCAGCAGGCUAAACAAAGAUUGACGCUGAGGCUCGAAAGCGUGGGGAUCAAACAGG
Molecule: ribosomal RNA, 253 nt
Filed under: uncultured bacterium
Lineage: Bacteria
Description: partial 16S ribosomal RNA
Rfam family: Bacterial small subunit ribosomal RNA
Source: RNAcentral